GUGCUUGCUUCAGCAGCACAUACACUAAAAUCUGGACCGAUACAGAGAAGAUUAGCAUGGCCUCUGCACAAGGAUGACACACAAAUUCGUGAAGCAUUCCAUACAAAA
Nomascus leucogenys (northern white-cheeked gibbon) is the source of this 108-nucleotide small nuclear RNA. The record is from Ensembl. Lineage: Eukaryota; Metazoa; Chordata; Mammalia; Primates; Hylobatidae.